GUCCACGGCCAUACCACCCUGAACGUACCCCAUCUCAUCUGAUCUCUGAAGCUAAGCAGGGUGAGGCCUGGUUAGUAUUUAGAUGGGAGACUACCUGGGAAUACCGGGUGCUGUAGACU
Rattus norvegicus (Norway rat) is the source of this 119-nucleotide ribosomal RNA. The record is from Ensembl. NCBI's taxonomy places the organism in Eukaryota, Metazoa, Chordata, Mammalia, Rodentia, Muridae.